Molecule: non-coding RNA, 999 nt
Filed under: Pan troglodytes (chimpanzee)
Lineage: Eukaryota; Metazoa; Chordata; Mammalia; Primates; Hominidae
Source: RNAcentral
GGAAUGGGAUAUUCCGACUCCUUAAGGGCCAGGCGCACAUAAGGUGUGACCUUUUCAUUCCCGUUGUUAUGGAGGGCCACAUCUGCCAGAGCCUGGAGUCUGCGAAGGCCGGGACCCGGUUCCCCGGCCCACCGUGGGGGGGGGUGUGCAAACCCGAGAGAACUGGAUUGCGUACCCACUGCAGAGUGCUGAAGACGGGGUAGCCACGAGGUUGCAAAUUCGUGAAGAAUCAGCAUCAUGUUUGGCAGCUGAGUAUUGGAGCCAGGAGCCUGCCAUGAGGUUUUGAGAACAGAGUGCUGUUUUAGAGCUGGCAGCAGCAUCUCAGCCCAAGAGAAGGUUAUAUUCCCAGAGGAUGUCAGUCCCAAGGACCAGUAGCUGCCAUCAGUUUGGAUUCUGAAAACUAACCGGCAUCAACACUGGGUGUAGAAACAUGCUUGCCUUAUGUAUCAGAGGACAUGCUCAGCAGAUCCAAGAGAUAUAUUUGGCAACUUUUUCUAGAAAAGGCACAUUGGGUAUCAUUCAUUACAUUCUUGAGUUUUUUUGGUUUUUUUUUUUUUUUUUUUUUGAGACAGUCUUGCUGUAUUGCCCAGGCUGGAGUGUGGUGGCACAAUCACAGCUCAUUGCAUCCUCAAUCACCCAGGCCUAAGCAAUCCUCCCACCUUGUAGCUGGGACUAUAGCUCACAGCACACCUGGCUAAAAUUUUUUUUUUGUUAAGACGGAUUCUCUAUGUUGCCCAGGCUGGUCUCAGGCUCCUGGGCUCAGAUGGUCCUCCUGCCUCAGCUUCCAAAGGCACAGGCCAAGUUGUAGCUUUGUCCCUUGCCAUCAUGCCCAACAAGAGGUUCUAUACCUUUUAAUGAAUUGACUUUCAUAAAUUGGUUAUGUUGGUGGGCAAGUUCUUUAAGCUGGAAAUUGUAAAUUCCUCCUGAAAUGUUUUUUCAUGCAGUUACCAUGAACUAAUACUACAAUAAAGGAUGGUCUUGGGUGUCAAUUCUUGAAAA